This 162-nucleotide ribosomal RNA is filed under the name uncultured bacterium. RNAcentral describes it as "partial 16S ribosomal RNA". It matches the Rfam family "Bacterial small subunit ribosomal RNA", at positions 1340 to 1500 of the family's 1533-position model. The record is from RNAcentral.
AAUGGCAGGUCAGCAUACUGCCGUGAAUACGUUCCCGGGCCCUUGUACACACCGCCCGUCCACACCAUGAGAGUUGGGAAUACCCGAAGCCUGUGAGCUAACUUAUAGAGGCAGCAGUCGAAGGUAGAAUCAAUGAUUGGGGUGAAGUCGUAACAAGGUAGC